Molecule: ribosomal RNA, 443 nt
Filed under: uncultured bacterium
Lineage: Bacteria
Description: partial 16S ribosomal RNA
Rfam family: Bacterial small subunit ribosomal RNA
Source: RNAcentral
CCUACGGGUGGCAGCAGUGGGGAAUAUUGCACAAUGGGCGAAAGCCUGAUGCAGCAACGCCGCGUGAAGGAAGAAGGGUUUCGGCGCGGAAACUUCUAUCAACAGGGACGAAAGAAAUGACGGUACCUGAAUAAGAAGCCACGGCUAACUACGUGCCAGCAGCCGCGGUAAAACGUAGGGGGGAAGCGUGAUCCGGAAGUACUGGGUGUAAAGGGUGAGUGGGCGGCAUGGUAAGCCAGAUGUGAAAGCCUUGGGCUUAACCCGAGGACUGCAUUUGGAACUAGCAAGCUAGAGUACAGGAGAGGAAAGCGGUAUUCGGGGUGUAGCGGUGAAAUGCGUAGAUAUUAGGAAGAACCCCAGUGGCGAAGGCGGCUUUCUGGACUGAAACUGACGCUGAGGCACGAAAGCGUGGGGAGCGAACAGGAUUAGAUACCCUAGUAGUC